Papaver somniferum (opium poppy) is the source of this 1774-nucleotide long non-coding RNA. RefSeq lists it as uncharacterized. NCBI's taxonomy places the organism in Eukaryota, Viridiplantae, Streptophyta, Magnoliopsida, Ranunculales, Papaveraceae. The transcript has 3 exons. The record is from RefSeq and is a predicted model, not a curated record.
UCUUCAUUAUUCUUAUCUCCUCGUUUCUUCUUUCUUCUUCUCCUCUCUUCUUCUGUUCGAAACCGAGAGAUGACUUUGAGGUAAGAUUUGAGAGAAUCAUUUGAUGAAGGUAGUGAGCAGAUGAUGAAGAUGUAUAGAUGAUGGAGGAGUCGAGGUUGUUGUUGAUGAAGAAGAAAAGAUGAUUCAGGGAACCAAGAUGGGGUUUUCUGUGAUUAUGAAUUGGGGUCUCGAAUUGGUGAUGAAUAAGAUGAAAUUGAAGAUGGGUUCGUUCUUAAUUGGUGUUUGAUGAAAGUUGUGGGGUUGUUCUGAAGCUGAUUUGAGAAUCGAAUCAAAAGCUAGGGUUCAUAAGAAAAGUUCAGAGGAGAGUUUGAAGAUGAAGUUAAUGGUUUAGGGGAUUGAAUUAAUGGUGGGUUUUUUCUGAAUCGAAGAAUAAGUGGAUAUAUUGGGUUUAGUUGCAGUUUCUCUAGGAAAUUGAAUCAGUGAAUUAGGGUUCUUGAUAGAGCAGAGAUUUAGGGUUCAUGGGUUGAAUCACAGUUGGAGAAGAAGAGUUUGGAGUCACUGUUUGAGGUAACCUCUUUUUACCAAACAGAGUUGAAUCGAAUUUCAUUUUGAAUUAUCGAAUUUGGAUAUUUAUUGGAUGCACUUUGAAUUGAAAUUUGAGUGUGCAGGAAUUGGAGUUGUUAUGAAUUGGUUGAGUAAAUUAGGGAAAAUAUUUGAGUUAAUGCAAUAAUUGAGAAUGUUUAGAGUUCUGCAAGGGGCAUGAAUACUGCAGGUUGGUAUGCAUUGAGGUGGAGUUGUGUUUGUCUUAGAAUUGGUAUUGUGGAGUGCAGAGAAGGAGUUAGUGGUCCAGUGCUGAACUGGUGUUGAUGUUGUUACAUAAAAUGUGUUGGUAGAGUGGUUGUUGAGCUGAAGUGCAGAUUAACUAGUAUUGCAGGUGGAAGUAGUGGUGCUGAAAUGGAAAUGCAUGUGAUGAUGGUUUGAAUUAGAAUGGAUGAGUGUGUGUAGACAUUGCUGAUGAACAUGCUUGAGUAGUAUGAGUCGAACCUAUUAUUAGAACUGUAUUGGUGGUGUUGUAGGAUGCAGGGAAGAAAUCUGGAGUUGUGGAUGAAUAAAUGUUAGAUGUACAUAAGUGAUAAUGGAGUUCAGUUUAUGGUAUGGGGAUGGACUUGUAUUGUAGUCUUAGGAUGACCUGAGUUUGGUAAAUACAAUGGAAGGGAUUGCAACUAUAUGCCAAUGUUGAUGGGGAUAUGAGAGGGGUUAAAGUUCAGUGGAUUGAUACACAUUGGGAAGAAUGAAGUGCAACUGUUAAUGAAGAUGAGCAUUAGCAGAUGGUGUUGGUCUCAACUGAAAUUGUUAGUGUUUUAUAUAAGCUGGGUCUGAUGUGUAUGAAGGUGACUGUGUGUUGUUCAAGAUGUGAUGUUGUGUGAUUGAAAUGUUAGAAUGAGGGUUAAUUGAAUGUUCUGAGUUGUCUCUCUACUGGAAGCUUGCAACUGCAUUUGCAGUGGAUCGUGGAUCUCGAGGUAGGCGUGGCUUGUCAUCAAAAGAGUUUCAGAGACAGAUAAGAGUUGCGCAGCGAAAGCUUCAAUAGUUGGAUAACUUCUACUAUGUUUAUUAUAUUGUUUAUUGUAUCUGUAAACCUAAUGACUAUUGCAUAUGUAUCAUUUGAGAAAACUUCUUGUAUAUAUACAUAUAUAUAUAUGUUUCAGAGCGGGUUAGUUUUGGGUUAAGUUUUGUAGCACAUUUCUUAGUUGAAUGCUUAAAUAUUUGAUUUAGA